RNAcentral lists this long non-coding RNA (802 nucleotides) under Homo sapiens (human). RNAcentral describes it as "HSALNT0382847". Lineage: Eukaryota; Metazoa; Chordata; Mammalia; Primates; Hominidae. The record is from RNAcentral.
GUCACAAUGGGCUUGGAAAGGUGUGUCUCUCAUCACUGCCUGACUGGUCUCUGCUUCCUGUUCUGGUCACUGUACCCACUUCCUCUCCAGGGACCAAUUCCUCCCUCAUGCUCCACCCAUGGUUGGGGGUGGCACUGGCCUCACACCCUGGCUUCGGGUGGCAAGUGUCCCAGGCCUGGCCAAUCAGAGUAUUCCACUCGUGACCCCUGGCCAUGCCAAUAGCUAAUGCAUGAGCUGGAAAGUAAAUCCUGUUGAGAAAAAGAAAACUUGGGACGGACUGCCAGGCAGAGGCAUGACAUGAGCCUCUUGCUGCCAACAGUCAUCAUGUGGAGAGGGUCUGCCAGAGAGAGAGGAAGAUAAAUGGAAAACAAACUGUGGAGUAAGCAAGCAAGAUAAAGAAAGAAAGCGGACGGCAUUAUUUGAGCCCCUGGAGCCAGCUGUACCUGACAUUUCAGUUACACACUGAACUGGGAGGAAAAUCUUUCUUGGAGAUCUCCCUGCACAUUGCCCCAUUGGUAAAGAUUAGAUCCCAUUGUCCAUGCUCUGGAUGCAAAGGAGCCUAGUGAGGGCACCACAUGGCAGGGCGUGAGUUCCAGUGGGAGGCCCCAUGCCAGUGUUCCCCUUCUGUUCCCACUCCCAGCUCAUUCUCACACCACAAGGAACCUGAUGCACUCCAGCCUACCUCUAGAGCAGCACUACAGAACUUUCUGCAGAGAUGGAAAUGUUCUAUCUGGGGGUGAUGGCUCACACCUACAAUCCCAGCAUUUUGGGAGGCUGAGGAAGAAGGAUCGCUUGAAGCCAG